Long non-coding RNA from Heterocephalus glaber (naked mole-rat), 372 nucleotides. Lineage: Eukaryota; Metazoa; Chordata; Mammalia; Rodentia; Bathyergidae. The record is from Ensembl.
CUCCAACUAUCCUUAUCUCUUGACUACCUCUACUGCUUCUUUAAUGCCAGGACAGUUCUCUUGUAAGUUAUCGUUUCCCUACUUGUGACUUAAGCAGUCAUGAACAUACAUGGCAUAAAAGGUCAAUGCAAGAUUAGGCAAGUAUGAGUAUACAGUCAUGAUCCCAGAGCUUCUAUGGAAGGCCAUGUCAUAUGGGAUAUUUAUUGUUUCCAGAAGGGACAAGGCACAGAUUAAAACCUGUGAAGGGUGAAGCCUAGUGCCUAUAUCAAUGGGUCACGCAUCUAGUUCUGUAUCUCAUCCUCUUUGAGCAGAAACAGAAGUCCACGCAACUAGACUUGAGAACCAGGUAACCAGAGGAAGGCAUCUGACCGU